AACGAACGCUGGCGGCAGGCUUAACACAUGCAAGUCGAACGCAUGCCUUCGGGCAUGAGUGGCAGACGGGUGAGUAACGCGUGGGAACCUACCCCUUGGUACGGGAUAGCUCCGGGAAACUGGAGAUAAUACCGUAUGUGUCCUGAGGGACAAAGAUUCAUCGCCAAGGGAUGGGCCCGCGUCGGAUUAGCUAGUUGGUGGGGUAACGGCCUACCAAGGCGACGAUCCGUAGCUGGUCUAAGAGGAUGAUCAGCCACAUUGGGACUGAGACACGGCCCAAACUCCUACGGGAGGCAGCAGUGGGGAAUAUUGGACACUGGGCGCAAGCCUGAUCCAGCCAUGCCGCGUGAGUGAUGAAGGCCCUAGGGUUGUAAAGCUCUUUCACCGGUGACGAUAAUGACGGUAACCGGAGAAGAAGCCCCGGCUAACUUCGUG
Molecule: ribosomal RNA, 435 nt
Filed under: uncultured bacterium
Lineage: Bacteria
Description: partial 16S ribosomal RNA
Rfam family: Bacterial small subunit ribosomal RNA
Source: RNAcentral